RNAcentral lists this ribosomal RNA (279 nucleotides) under uncultured bacterium. Its description in RNAcentral is "partial 16S ribosomal RNA". It matches the Rfam family "Bacterial small subunit ribosomal RNA", at positions 506 to 784 of the family's 1533-position model. The record is from RNAcentral.
UGCCAGCCGCCGCGGUAAUACAGAGGGUGCAAGCGUUGUUCGGAAUCAUUGGGCGUAAAGCGCGCGUAGGCGGUUACGUAAGUCUGAUGUGAAAGCCCGGGGCUUAACCUCGGAAGUGCAUCGGAAACUGCGUGACUUGAGUCUCGGAGAGGGUGGUGGAAUUCCUGGUGUAGAGGUGAAAUUCGUAGAUAUCAGGAGGAACAUCGGUGGCGAAGGCGACCACCUGGACGAUGACUGACGCUGAGGUGCGAAAGCGUGGGUAGCAAACAGGAUUAGAUA